This 440-nucleotide ribosomal RNA is filed under the name uncultured bacterium. RNAcentral's name for it is "partial 16S ribosomal RNA". It matches the Rfam family "Bacterial small subunit ribosomal RNA", at positions 338 to 795 of the family's 1533-position model. The record is from RNAcentral.
CCUACGGGAGGCAGCAGUGGGGGAUAUUGCACAAUGGGGGAAACCCUGAUGCAGUGACGCCGCGUGGGUGAAGAAGCGCCUCGGCGCGUAAAGCCCUGUCAGCAGGGAAGAAAAUGACGGUACCUGAAGAAGAAGCCCCGGCUAACUCCGUGCCAGCAGCCGCGGUAAUACGUAGGGGGCAAGCGGUAUCCGGAUUUACUGGGUGUAAAGGGGGCGCAGACGGCGAUGCAAGCCAGGAGUGAAAGCCCGGGGCCCAACCCCGGGACUGCUCUUGGAACUGCGUGGCUAGAGUGCAGGAGGGGCAGGCGGAAUUCCUGGUGUAGCGGUGAAAUGCGUAGAUAUCAGGAGGAACACCGGUGGCGAAGGCGGCCUGCUGGACUGCAACUGACGUUGAGGCCCGAAAGCGUGGGGAGCAAACAGGAUUAGAUACCCCAGUAGUC